RNAcentral lists this ribosomal RNA (428 nucleotides) under uncultured bacterium. RNAcentral describes it as "bacterial SSU rRNA". It matches the Rfam family "Bacterial small subunit ribosomal RNA", at positions 355 to 775 of the family's 1533-position model. RNAcentral also lists the same sequence under 1 other name. The record is from RNAcentral.
UGGGGAAUAUUGGACAAUGGGCGAAAGCCUGAUCCAGCCAUGCCGCGUGUGUGAAGAAGGUCUUCGGAUUGUAAAGCACUUUAAGUUGGGAGGAAGGGCAGUAAGUUAAUACCUUGCUGUUUUGACGUUACCAACAGAAUAAGCACCGGCUAACUUCGUGCCAGCAGCCGCGGUAAUACGAAGGGUGCAAGCGUUAAUCGGAAUUACUGGGCGUAAAGCGCGCGUAGGUGGUUCAGCAAGUUGGAUGUGAAAUCCCCGGGCUCAACCUGGGAACUGCAUCCAAAACUACUGAGCUAGAGUACGGUAGAGGGUGGUGGAAUUUCCUGUGUAGCGGUGAAAUGCGUAGAUAUAGGAAGGAACACCAGUGGCGAAGGCGACCACCUGGACUGAUACUGACACUGAGGUGCGAAAGCGUGGGGAGCAAACAG